This 390-nucleotide ribosomal RNA is filed under the name Chaetoceros sp. Its description in RNAcentral is "partial small subunit ribosomal RNA". It matches the Rfam family "Eukaryotic small subunit ribosomal RNA", at positions 582 to 975 of the family's 1831-position model. Lineage: Eukaryota; Bacillariophyta; Thalassiosirophyceae; Chaetocerotales; Chaetocerotaceae. The record is from RNAcentral.
AUUCCAGCUUCAGUAGCGUAUAUUAAAGUUGUUGCAGUUAAAAAGCUCGUAGUCGCAUUUCUGGCGAGAGGAUCCGGUCCGACCUUUUGGUGGGUUCUUGGGUCUCUUUCGCCAUCCUUGAGUGGUCCGUUCUGGCAUUAGGUUGUCGGAGCGUCAGCCGCUCAUCGUUUACUGUGAGAAAAUUAGAGUGUUCAAAGCAGGCUUAUGCCGUUGAAUAUAUUAGCAUGGAAUAAUAAGAUAGGACCUCGGUACUAUUUUGUUGGUUUGCGCACCAAGGUAAUGAUGAACAGGGACAGUUGGGGGUAUCUGUAUUUCGUUGUCAGAGGUGAAAUUCUUAGAUUUACGAAAGACAAACUACUGCGAAAGCAUUUACCAAGGAUGUUUUCAUCG